CUACUUACCUGGCAGGGGAGACACGACGAUCACGAUCACGAAGGUGGUUCUCCCAGGGCGAGGCUGGUCCGCUGCGCCCCGGGCGUGCCGACCCCUGCGGCUUCCCCACCUGCGGGAAACUCGCAGCGUCAGGUGUGGCGGUGGGUCUGCGCCCGCGCUCUCCCCUG
Small nuclear RNA from Talpa occidentalis (Iberian mole), 167 nucleotides. RefSeq annotates it as U1 spliceosomal RNA. The record is from RefSeq and is a predicted model, not a curated record. The transcript has a single exon. NCBI's taxonomy places the organism in Eukaryota, Metazoa, Chordata, Mammalia, Eulipotyphla, Talpidae.